AACGAACGCUGGCGGCGCGUUUAAGCAUGCAAGUCGGACGGGAUCCAUGGCUUCGGCUGUGGUGAGAGUGGCGAACGGGUGAGUAACACGUAGGUUAUCUGCCUUUGGGUGGGGGAUAGCCCAUGGAAACAUGGGGUAAUACCGCAUAAAGCCUUUCGGGGUUAAAGGAGCAAUUGUUCCGCCUGGGGAUGAGCCUGCGGUCCAUUAGCUUGUUGGUGUGGUAAUGGCGCACCAAGGCGACGAUGGAUAGCCGGCCUGAGAGGGUGAACGGCCACACUGGGACUGAGACACGGCCCAGACUCCUACGGGAGGCAGCAGCUAAGAAUCUUCCGCAAUGGGGGAAACCCUGACGGAGCGACGCCGCGUGGACGAUGAAGGCCGGAAGGUUGUAAAGUCCUUUUCUUCGCGAAGAAUAAUGCUGGGAGUGGAAUGCCCGGCAGAUGACGUUAGCGGAGGAAUAAGCCCCGGCCAAUUACGUGCCAGCAGCCGCGGUAACACGUAUGGGGCGAGCGUUGUUCGGAAUUAUUGGGCGUAAAGGGCGUGUAGGCGGCCUGUUAAGCUUGGUGUUAAAGGCCACGGCUCAACCGUGGUUUAGCGCUGAGAACUGGCGGGCUAGAGUUCUGGAGGGGGAGCUGGAAUUCCAGGUGUAGGGGUGAAAUCUGUAGAUAUCUGGAAGAACACCGGUGGCGAAGGCGAGCUCCUGGCCAUGGACUGACGCUGAGGCGCGAAAGCGUGGGGAGCGAACAGGAUUAGAUACCCUGGUAGUCCACGCUGUAAACGAUGUGCACUGGGCGUAGGGGGCAUUGGGUUCUCUGUGCCGUAGCUAACGCGUU
This 833-nucleotide ribosomal RNA is filed under the name uncultured organism. Its description in RNAcentral is "bacterial SSU rRNA". It matches the Rfam family "Bacterial small subunit ribosomal RNA", at positions 28 to 861 of the family's 1533-position model. The record is from RNAcentral.